RNAcentral lists this ribosomal RNA (497 nucleotides) under uncultured bacterium. RNAcentral describes it as "partial 16S ribosomal RNA". It matches the Rfam family "Bacterial small subunit ribosomal RNA", at positions 28 to 507 of the family's 1533-position model. The record is from RNAcentral.
GAUGAACGCUGGCGGCGUGCCUAAUACAUGCAAGUCGAGCGAACAGACGAGGAGCUUGCUCCUCUGACGUUAGCGGCGGACGGGUGAGUAACACGUGGAUAACCUACCUAUAAGACUGGGAUAACUUUGGGAAACCGGAGCUAAUACCGGAUAAUAUAUUGAACCGCAUGGUUCAAUAGUGAAAGACGGUUUUGCUGUCACUUAUAGAUGGAUCCGCGCCGCAUUAGCUAGUUGGUAAGGUAACGGCUUACCAAGGCGACGAUGCGUAGCCGACCUGAGAGGGUGAUCGGCCACACUGGAACUGAGACACGGUCCAGACUCCUACGGGAGGCAGCAGUAGGGAAUCUUCCGCAAUGGGCGAAAGCCUGACGGAGCAACGCCGCGUGAGUGAUGAAGGUCUUCGGAUCGUAAAACUCUGUUAUUAGGGAAGAACAAAUGUGUAAGUAACUAUGCACGUCUUGACGGUACCUAAUCGGAAAGCCACGGCUAACUACGUG